AGUGAACGCUGGCGGCAGGCCUAACACAUGCAAGUCGAGCGGCCGCGCGGGGGCAACCCUGGCGGCGAGCGGCUGACGGGUGAGGAAUUCGUCGGAAUCUGCCUUUUUGUGGGGGAUAACGUAGGGAAACUUACGCUAAUACCGCAUACGUCCUACGGGCGCAAGUGGGGGACCGCAAGGCCUCACGCAGAAAGAUGAGCCGACGACCGAUUAGCUAGUUGGUGGGGUAAAGGCCCACCAAGGCGACGAUCGGUAGCUGGUCUGAGAGGAUGAUCAGCCACACUGGGACUGAGACACGGCCCAGACUCCUACGGGAGGCAGCAGUGGGGAAUAUUGGACAAUGGGCGCAAGCCUGAUCCAGCCAUGCCGCGUGUGUGAAGAAGGCCUUCGGGUUGUAAAGCACUUUUGUCCGGAAAGAAAUCCCUGGAGCUAAUACCUUCGGGGGAUGACGGUACCGGAAGAAUAAGCACCGGCUAACUUCGUG
This 484-nucleotide ribosomal RNA is filed under the name uncultured bacterium. RNAcentral describes it as "partial 16S ribosomal RNA". It matches the Rfam family "Bacterial small subunit ribosomal RNA", at positions 29 to 507 of the family's 1533-position model. The record is from RNAcentral.